Molecule: ribosomal RNA, 512 nt
Filed under: uncultured bacterium
Lineage: Bacteria
Description: partial 16S ribosomal RNA
Rfam family: Bacterial small subunit ribosomal RNA
Source: RNAcentral
GACGAACGCUGGCGGCGUGCCUAAUACAUGCAAGCCGAGCGAAUCAAUAGGAGCUUGCUCCUGUUGAUUAGCGGCGGACGGGUGAGUAACACGUGGGCAACCUGCCUGUAAGACUGGGAUAACUUCGGGAAGCCGGAGCUAAUACCGGAUAAUUCUUUUCCUCUCAUGAGGAAAAGCUGAAAGUCGGUUUCGGCUGACACUUACAGAUGGGCCCGCGGCGCAUUAGCUAGUUGGUGAGGUAACGGCUCACCAAGGCGACGAUGCGUAGCCGACCUGGGAGGGUGAUCGGCCACACUGGGACUGAGACACGGCCCAGACUCCUACGGGAGGCAGCAGUAGGGAAUCUUCCGCAAUGGACGAAAGUCUGACGGAGCAACGCCGCGUGAGCGAUGAAGGCCUUCGGGUCGUAAAGCUCUGUUGUUAGGGAAGAACAAGUAUCGGAGUAACUGCCGGUACCUUGACGGUACCUAACCAGAAAGCCACGGCUAACUACGUGCCAGCAGCCGCCGUAA